This 660-nucleotide ribosomal RNA is filed under the name Liolaemus sp. Nazca. RNAcentral's name for it is "partial 12S ribosomal RNA". It matches the Rfam family "Bacterial small subunit ribosomal RNA", at positions 86 to 1249 of the family's 1533-position model. Lineage: Eukaryota; Metazoa; Chordata; Lepidosauria; Squamata. The record is from RNAcentral.
CCUUAUUAAGCGCCAAGGAGCAGGUAUCAGGCACAACUAUUUAGCCCAAAACACCUUGCUACGCCACACCCACACGGGCACCCAGCAGUGAUUAAUAUUAAGCAAUGAGUGAAAGCCAACCUAAGCUCGACUUAGUUAUGAUCAUUAGGGCCGGUAAACCUCGUGCCAGCCACCGCGGUUAUACGAGGGGCCCAAAACAACAGACGCCGGCGUAAAUUGUGACUAGAGUAUCUCUUACAUCACUGAAAAAUGAACAAAAGCCUGAUCGUAAAACCUAGGCCAAAAGAAACACAUAUUUUCAGCAAUAAAGCAACUUGAACCCACGAAGACUAAGAAACAAACUAGGAUUAGAUACCCUACUAUGCUUAGUUGUAAAUAUGACACCAAAAAACACCACCGUCCGCCAGAGAAUUACACGCGAAAAGCUUAAAACUCAAAGGACUUGGCGGUGCUCCGUAUUCGUCUUAGAGGAGCCUGUCCUAUAAUCGAUAAUCCACGCUUUACCUUACCAUCUUUUGUUAAACAGCCUAUAUACCGCCGUCGCAAACUUACCCCAUGAGGGUACAAUAGUAAGUAAAACAGUAACACACUAACACGUCAGGUCAAGGUGUAGCUAAUAAGAUGGAAGAGAUGGGCUACAUUUUCUAAAACAGAACAUAC